This 306-nucleotide long non-coding RNA is filed under the name Elaeis guineensis (African oil palm). Its description in RNAcentral is "long non-coding RNA (EGUI_LNC006320)". The record is from RNAcentral. Lineage: Eukaryota; Viridiplantae; Streptophyta; Magnoliopsida; Arecales; Arecaceae.
GAUUCUGUUUCAAAUCAAUAUUUGAUGUAAUGAUCUUUUUUUUAUAAAAUGAUUUAAGAAUGAAUUGAUAUCAAGAAUUAGAAUAUUGAAAUAUUUGAGGAUGAGAUUUUUUUAUCAUAAAUCUUAAGUAAGAAAUUAUGAAGACUUAAGCAAGAAAAAUUUCGAGAACAAUUUUUUUUAUGAAGAAAGAAUAUAAUAUCCAGCACGGAUAUUAAAGCUCAAUAAAAAAAAGUCAGCACAGGCUGUGCACGCGCUAGUUGGAAAGAAACAGGACUCCCAAUGGGAGUCCCUUCCGUGUGGUCUCUC